AGAAAGAAUAUUGGAACUGCUAAUUCCAUACCCCCAUAUUUAACACUAUGGCUUUCUU
This 58-nucleotide transfer RNA is filed under the name Phyllomys lundi (Lund's Atlantic tree-rat). RNAcentral describes it as "tRNA-Ser". Lineage: Eukaryota; Metazoa; Chordata; Mammalia; Rodentia; Echimyidae. The record is from RNAcentral.